This 341-nucleotide unclassified non-coding RNA is filed under the name soil metagenome. Its description in RNAcentral is "partial contains 5.8S ribosomal RNA, internal transcribed spacer 2, and large subunit ribosomal RNA". The stretch from base 1 to 120 matches the Rfam family "5.8S ribosomal RNA", at positions 35 to 154 of the family's 154-position model. The record is from RNAcentral.
GAUGAAGAACGCAGCGAAAUGCGAUAAGUAGUGUGAAUUGCAGAAUUCAGUGAAUCAUCGAAUCUUUGAACGCACAUUGCGCCCUUUGGUAUUCCAAAGGGCAUGCCUGUUCGAGCGUCAUUUGUACCCUCAAGCUUUGCUUGGUGUUGGGCGUCUUGUCUCUAGCUUUGCUGGAGACUCGCCUUAAAGUAAUUGGCAGCCGGCCUACUGGUUUCGGAGCGCAGCACAAGUCGCACUCUCUAUCAGCAAAGGUCUAGCAUCCAUUAAGCCUUUUUUUCAACUUUUGACCUCAGAUCAGGUAGGGAUACCCGCUGAACUUAAGCAUAUCAAUAAGCGGAGGA